GGUCCCAUAGUUCAAUGGAUAGAAUAUCAGAUUCCGGUUCUGACGAUCCGGGUUCGAGUCCCAGUGGGAUCACCA
Molecule: transfer RNA, 75 nt
Filed under: Bacteroidetes bacterium GWA2_42_15
Lineage: Bacteria; Pseudomonadati; Bacteroidota
Also listed under: 3 other names
Description: tRNA-Arg
Rfam family: tRNA
About the family: Transfer RNA (tRNA) molecules are approximately 80 nucleotides in length. Their secondary structure includes four short double-helical elements and three loops (D, anti-codon, and T loops).
Source: RNAcentral